Molecule: ribosomal RNA, 504 nt
Filed under: uncultured bacterium
Lineage: Bacteria
Description: bacterial SSU rRNA
Rfam family: Bacterial small subunit ribosomal RNA
Source: RNAcentral
CUGGCUCAGGAUGAACGCUGGCGGCGUGCCUAACACAUGCAAGUCGAACGGGUUAAGUGAAAUUUCGGAUGGACCUUAACUUAGUGGCGGACGGGUGAGUAACGCGUGGAUAACCUGCCUCACACUGGGGGAUAGCAGCUGGAAACGGCUGGUAAUACCGCAUAAGACCCCGGUGCCGCAUGGCACCGGGGUAAAAGAUUUAUCGGUGUGAGAUGGAUCCGCGUCUGAUUAGCCAGUUGGCGGGGUAACGGCCCACCAAAGCGACGAUCAGUAGCCGGCCUGAGAGGGUGAACGGCCACAUUGGGACUGAGACACGGCCCAAACUCCUACGGGAGGCAGCAGUGGGGAAUAUUGCACAAUGGGCGCAAGCCUGAUGCAGCAACGCCGCCGUGAGUGAAGAAGUAUUUCGGUAUGUAAAGCUCUAUCGGCAGGGAAGAAAGGCCCAUAACGGGAGAUGACGGUACCUGACUAAGAAGCCCCGGCUAACUACGUGCCAGCAGCCGC